GCGCUGAUGGAUGAGCUCGCGUCGGAUUAGCUUGUUGGUGAGGUAAAGGCUCACCAAGGCGACGAUCCGUAGCUGGUCUGAGAGGAUGAUCAGCCACACCGGGACUGAGACACGGCCCGGACUCCUACGGGAGGCAGCAGUGGGGAAUCUUGGACAAUGGGGGCAACCCUGAUCCAGCCAUGCCGCGUGUGUGAAGAAGGCCUUCGGGUUGUAAAGCACUUUCAGCAGGGAGGAAGGCUUUGGGCUAAUACCCUGGAGUACUUGACGUUACCUGCAGAAGAAGCACCGGCUAAUUUCGUGCCAGCAGCCGCGGUAAUACGAAAGGUGCAAGCGUUAAUCGGAAUUACUGGGCGUAAAGCGCGCGUAGGCGGUGUGUUAAGUCGGAUGUGAAAGCCCAGGGCUCAACCUUGGAAUUGCAUCCGAUACUGGCACGCUAGAGUGCAGUAGAGGGAGGUGGAAUUUCCGGUGUAGCGGUGAAAUGCGUAGAGAUCGGAAGGAACACCAGUGGCGAAGGCGGCCUCCUGGACUGACACUGACGCUGAGGUGCGAAAGCGUGGGGAGCAAACAGGAUUAGAUACCCUGGUAGUCCACGCCGUAAACGAUGUCUACUAGCCGUCGGGGUCCUUAGUGACUUUGGUGGCGCAGCUAACGCGAUAAGUAGACCGCCUGGGGAGUACGGCCGCAAGGUUAAACUCAAAUGAAUUGACGGGGCCCGCACAAGCGGUGGAGCAUGUGGUUUAAUUCGAUGCAACGCGAAGAACCUUACCAGGUCUUGACAUCCUCGGAACUUGGCAGAGAUGCCUUGGUGCCUUCGGGAGCCGAGUGACAGGUGCUGCAUGGCCGUCGUCAGCUCGUGUCGUGAGAUGUUGGGUUAAGUCCCGUAACGAGCGCAACCCUUGUCCUUAGUUGCCAGCACUUCGGGUGGGAACUCUAGGGAGACUGCCGGUGACAAACCGGAGGAAGGUGGGGACGACGUCAGGUCAUCAUGGCCCUUACGACCUGGGCUACACACGUGCUACAAUGGCUGGUACAGAGGGUUGCUAAGUCGCGAGGCGGAGCUAAUCCCUUAAAGCCAGUCGUAGUCCGGAUCGGAGUCUGCAACUCGACUCCGUGAAGUCGGAAUCGCUAGUAAUCGCGGAUCAGAAUGCCGCGGUGAAUACGUUCCCGGGCCUUGUACACACCGCCCGUCACACCAUGGGAGUGGAUUGCACCAGAAGUGGCUA
RNAcentral lists this ribosomal RNA (1223 nucleotides) under Alcanivorax sp. 12. RNAcentral describes it as "bacterial SSU rRNA". It matches the Rfam family "Bacterial small subunit ribosomal RNA", at positions 215 to 1432 of the family's 1533-position model. Lineage: Bacteria; Pseudomonadati; Pseudomonadota; Gammaproteobacteria; Oceanospirillales; Alcanivoracaceae. The record is from RNAcentral.